AUAAGUUGUUUUGCUAUCCUAAAACAUACCAACAACCUAGCCUUUCUCCCCGUCGGUCUCCAGUCACGAACCCGAUUUGACUCUGAUUCAGACGGAGCAAACCAGGUUCCAAUGGCGCCCGCUCUGGCCCGGGGCAAAAUUGGGUAUUACAACAAUCAUCAAAACUUUUCUCUCAAUUUUCAUCACACUUACCAGUAGAGGUGGGCAUUAUUUUAGCAACCGAGUUUAAUUUGUAUUUUUUUAAAUUUUGUCGAAUCGAGUAAAAAAAUUUCGAGUCAA
Molecule: long non-coding RNA, 279 nt
Organism: Gossypium raimondii (Peruvian cotton)
Lineage: Eukaryota; Viridiplantae; Streptophyta; Magnoliopsida; Malvales; Malvaceae
Exons: 2
Source: RefSeq, a predicted model, not a curated record